Arabidopsis thaliana (thale cress) is the source of this 210-nucleotide long non-coding RNA. RefSeq annotates it as other RNA. The transcript has a single exon. NCBI's taxonomy places the organism in Eukaryota, Viridiplantae, Streptophyta, Magnoliopsida, Brassicales, Brassicaceae. The record is from RefSeq.
CACAUGCUUUUUUGGCUUUCAUGCAUGCUUCUGCCUUCCUUUUGUUAUCUGCAAAAUUUGCCUUCUUGUUUCUCAUGUUUGACCAACCCCUUCCAUAAAAAGGAAAAAUGCUAAAAUAAAAACAUUUAUCGUUGUCAGCACAAACAACUUGUUAUGAAAUUUGUAGGUACCCAAUCUGCAAUAUAGAGUCACCUCUCAUCGAUUGAUUAU